UUAAAACGUAGAGGUUGCGAAGGCUUAAGAGUACUAAUAACGAGGUAAGCGCGAUGACUUAUUGGGAAAGGAAGAUUCGCCGAAGAGAUUAACUGACGCUUUAAGGUUAAUUCUCUGGGGGUGCAUAAAAGAUAUGCAUCACUGUCACAAAAAUCACUUUGUGGUGUGCUACAUUUGAG
This is a non-coding RNA of Turicibacter sanguinis PC909, 179 nucleotides long. Lineage: Bacteria; Bacillati; Bacillota; Erysipelotrichia; Erysipelotrichales; Turicibacteraceae. The record is from Rfam.